ACGAACGCUGGCGGCGUGCUUAACACAUGCAAGUCGAACGGAAAGGCCCCUUUGGGGGUACUCGAGUGGCGAACGGGUGAGUAACACGUGAGUAACCUGCCCUUGACUUCGGGAUAACUUCAGGAAACUGGGGCUAAUACCGGAUAGGAAUCCUUGCUGCAUGGUGGGGGUUGGAAAGCUUCGGCGGUUUUGGAUGGACUCGCGGCUUAUCAGCUUGUUGGUGGGGUAGUGGCUUACCAAGGCUUUGACGGGUAGCCGGCCUGAGAGGGCGACCGGCCACAUUGGGACUGAGAUACGGCCCAGACUCCUACGGGAGGCAGCAGUGGGGAAUAUUGCACAAUGGGCGGAAGCCUGAUGCAGCAACGCCGCGUGCGGGAUGACGGCCUUCGGGUUGGAAACCGCUUUCAGCAGGGGCGAAGCUUGUGGUGACGGUACCUGCAGAAGAAGCACCGGCUAACUACGUG
Molecule: ribosomal RNA, 464 nt
Filed under: uncultured bacterium
Lineage: Bacteria
Description: partial 16S ribosomal RNA
Rfam family: Bacterial small subunit ribosomal RNA
Source: RNAcentral